Molecule: long non-coding RNA, 5326 nt
Filed under: Equus caballus (horse)
Lineage: Eukaryota; Metazoa; Chordata; Mammalia; Perissodactyla; Equidae
Description: lncRNA (ENSECAG00000056392.1)
Source: RNAcentral
CACACAGGGAGAAUGCCAUGCGAUGACAGAGGCAGAGACUGGAGUGAUGCUUCUACAGGUGAAAAAACUCCAAGGACUGCUGGCAACCAGCAGACGCUAGGGAGAGGUGAGAAAGGAUCCUCUGCUAGAGCCAUCAGACCGAUUGUGGCCCCGCUGACACCUUGAUUAUGGACUUCUGGCCUCCAGAACUGUGAGAGAGGAGAUUUCUGUUGUUUUAAGGCACUCAGCUUGUGGAAAUUUAUUACAGCAGCUCUCGGAAACUAAGACAGUUAUUGUUGCUUUGUGAGAGUCGCUAAACCUCAAAUACAACAGGAGGAGUUUUAGAUACUUCAAUACACCCCACCCUAGCUCUCCAAAGUCCACCUGACUUUUCAAGCUCAGCUCAACGCUUAUCAUUUUCUUGACGCUUGUCGAAUUUUACCUUGUAUCCUGGAGCAUCAGGGACCUGUCAACCUCAAUCAUUCCCUGGAUUCCAAAACCACAGAUGGGAAUCUCUGGUGCCACCUUUUCUUGGCAGCAGGGAAAGAUUCACCCUCACCUUUCACCAUCAUCAGGGCUUGAGGGCCAUGCCCUAGGGCCUGGAAACAGCCUUUUGCACAAGCAGGAGGCUGUAACGUGGCCUUCCUUCUGACCCGCCCUCCCAGAGCCCUCAGAGCCUGUGGCGUGUCAUCCUUCACCCCCAUGGCACACUGCUGCGGUUUUCUCACAAGGCCGCACACAGCGAACCAGGGUGGGGCAGCAAUUAGUGCAGAAUCCUUGCAGAAGGGUGGGGAGGACAUGACACAAAGAAGCCACAAGCUCCUGGGCACAGAGACUGAGGAGCGCAACAGGCGUCGCCUGAGGCAGGCCAGGAGGAGGUUCUGUGCCCUGCGUCAGGUUGCACGACUGAGGGAGAGUGACUCUUGAUAAUUGCUGGGGAAACACCACUAUAUCUCACCCACACUGCUUUCACUGUUUCUCCCUCCUUGCCAUCAAGACCAUCUACUUCUGGCUUGAAACCACCAUUAUUGAAAUAAUGAGGGCUGGGAUGCAGAGCAGAAGGAUGAGGUUUGAACCUAACUUCUCUGACCUUCUCACUAGGAAAUGAUCCUCCACCUGUUCUUCCUACCCCUGGAAAUUGUGCAAAUGAUACCAGCCCUGAGGUGGCACAGACAGGGCGGCAGCUUGGAGUAGAAGCAGCCGCUGCUCUCAGGGCCAGAGCCACCAGAAGAAGACUUGAACACAGGGGAGGAGGAGAAGGUGAGGUGGGGGCACUCCAGAAGCUUCUAGAUCCUUUGAUGGGAGAGAAGAGGUUAUGAGCCCUCUCCAAACAGAAGAUCCAACUGGUGAGGCUAUUCUCUGACCUUCCUGCAUCACUGCUUGUAAGAUUGGCCUGCAGAGGUGCCAGGUGGCCAGGCAGACACUGUGCUAGUUAGACUCUUUCAACAUGUCAUAACCAGUGACCAAUGCCAGCUUCUCCACCAACCAGUCUAUGAUCUACUCUGUAUACCAGAGGCUAUGAGCUGUCAAAUUGAGCUGGAAGAUGUUUCAUUUGGUUCAUCCUUCUCCCACCCAAGCUCCCUGCCAUGUGCUAGUCUGUUCUACAUGUGGUAGUUACUGUGGGUUGACGUCUUCAACCUCCGCUCCUAUCCUGUUCUAAUGUGCCUUCCUGCAAGGAAGGAGCUGGAAGGCUAAAGUUUGCAAGACUUCUUGGCAGCUAGGGUUCAGGGUGAGACUUGGGGCCUACAGACUAGAUACAGGCCUGGGUAACUCGGAUCCUGAACAGAACGGAAUGUACUUGGAGAGAGAGUCAAUCUACUUGCAAGUACCAAUCGAGGCACAGGUGGCAUGGCCCUCGACCACCAGCUGUGUCGGCAACUUCUUGUUCAGGAAAGAGGUACGGGCUUCCUCGGCAGCCUGGAUCUGUGGUAUGAUUUCAGACAUUGCCCCUGUCAGUUUAUUGCACAGUCUUUUUUCAUCCUUCCCAACAAUUCUGAAGGCUAGCUAUAUCCCCACAUAAAUCUCCUGCUUAGAGUAGAUGCCAUUAUCUGCAACUAAGAGCCAGGACCAAUCCAGUGGUUGUGUUCUGCAGAUCCCCGAGAUUGAACACAUCUGCAGUGCCCCCGGCAAGCUCUGGCUCAGAGAGCCAUCCUAGAAACGUUUUUGUGGAGUGAUUUUCCUGAAAAAAUGUAUCACCUGGCAUCAGCAGGUUGAUAUGUUAUGACACGUCUAGUGCCCAGUGGAAAUAAAUAUAACCAAGAUUUCAAAAAUGCAUCAUUUUGCCUCAGCCCUACAAGUUGAAAAUAGUUUAAUUUACAGAGGCAAGUAGAAAAGAAAAAAAUCACAAACAUAAAGGAUGGCACAAAAGUGGCAUCUGAAGAGGCUGGUUUUCAUUUAUCUUUUACAUUAGGUAGUCAUUCAGGCUUGCCAUGCACACCUUCACUGCCUUUUACAGGUGGAAAUUCACAAUUCUAAUGGGGAGGGGGCUGCAGAUCAUUUCAGGCUCUCAUGUCAGACAUCACCCAUAUUUGGGUUAUUUCCAGAGCAAAUACCAUUCUAAUGAUUAUCUUCAUUACUUCUACUAAGUACAUAAAUGUAAUUUCUUCUGCUGUGAAUACCACCCAUGUGGGGUAAAAACAAGUGACACUAGAUAAUUUUGUAAGAUUCUUCUCUGAUAUUUUUAGGAAGGCGUUUUGAAUUUGUAAGUUGUGUGAGACAGCCUGUCGUUGGGCAGGGAAGUGGGCCUGCUUGCAGGAGAGUCAUCCCUGCACGGAAAAAAGGGUUUCUAUCCUGGGCCUGGCUGCGUCUACCCUGGCAACGCUGACGCACAGAAUGUUACUGGAAUUGGAAAAGGCAGCCUGGGGAGACUCAGUGCCUGAGUCUGGACCCAUAAGAACGAGGCGCCCAUUCGGGGUCUUUGCGUCCAUACCCCAGGUCUUUCAUGAGCCUGAAGCCACCUAUGAAAAGAUGAGACGACCGUGGGUUUGGGGACAGAGAGGUGUCUUUUUGACAUGAAUCAAUAGAAAAGAAAGGAUGACUUCCUCCCUGAAAACCCUGAAAACUUAACUGUCUUAUGGAUUGAAAAUUGGACGAAAUUCUGCUUACGGUUAGGAAUUUAAUAUUAAAAAUUGCCAAGCCACUAAUAAUCAUCACAGAAAACUGCCAUAUGGAAAAGUUAUCAACAUGUCCUUUUUGGAACUAGAAAAUCACUGCAAUGUUUUUAAGUAUCCAAAAAAAAAUCCAUUAAACAUGUUUCUGGGCGUUUUUCCUCCCGUUGGGGUGAGAACAGCAUUCCCAUUAACAGCAGCGGGAACUAUUCAUGUUCUCAGAAGGGGCAAUGGGCUAAUUGCAGAUGGAGGAUAUAAAUUCAACUCAAGAGCCCAAGCCCGGCUCCCACGCCCACGCGGGCCACUCUUCUCGUUCCCGCACUCCCUGGAAGCAUCACUUCUUUAUUCCAGAAGCCCUAGUGGGUCACCCGGGCCCCACACACAAAGGAGCUGGAGAACUGUCAUUUCGCAGCUGUUGUGGUAACCUUCCCCCAGGUCUGACUGUUAGGGAGUGGGCGGUGCAGGCAGUUGUGGGGGCGUGUGUCAGGUUCGUAGUCAAACUUCAUGCUUUAAAGUUGGCCUUUUCUUAUUUUCUUUCUAUGGCUACAGCACACUGCCACUGGCUUUGAUCCACCUCUUCAACUCUCAUCGGUUAAGAGUCGAGGUGUGAUACUUAAUAAUAGCUUAAAGGGCCAUCAGUCAGAGAGAGAUGCUCAUUGGGGUGAGAGGCCAGGCGAUGAAGAUGCACACCCCAGCCUCCACCACCUACUGAGACCCCGAGAGUCUGUGGUGGUCUGUGUUCUCAGGCGGAUGUGGCCAUGACAGCCAGUGGUUGCUGAGGGAACAGCGCGGCUCUGCUCCUCUUGGUUCUUGCAUUAUUCCACGUUUCAGUUCUAUUCAAAGGAAAGUGUGCGAAAUUUCCCUGUUCUUCCCCCACGGAGCUACAAAUGCGGCUGGGUGAGAGGGUUGCCAGGAAAAUCCGGGGAACGAUGACAGGAGAAGGCCACAGCCGUUCCGGGUGGAAAAGUUCUCCAGUGGGCUGCUCAGAACAGAUGGCAGAUAAUUGACAUCUGAUGGCAAAGUCCUGCCCCAAGAGCGAGCGUCCCAACCUCAGGGACCAGCUGGGGGAUGCUGUGCUUGGAACCAAGAACAGAGCCUGGGCUGCAAUUCACCCAAGAACGCCUGUUCCCAGGGCCCGGAAGCCCAGGCUUCCACGCCGCCCGCUCAAACCUCUGAUGGUCUAGAUUUCUUAACAGCAGUGCACAAGGAUUCUUCGGGCUGAAUACAGGCUACACUUGGUCCCUUUAUUUCUUUCUGGUGAAAGCUCAGCAUCUGUUUUAUGAAAAAAUCAAACGACAGGAGGGGAAGUUAAGGGAGAAGAGGGAAGGAAAAGGACCAGCACUAGAUUGCCAUUGAUUGCUUUGGAUGAAAGAACAAUAUUGCUCCUGAGAGUGGGGUAUCAAAAUUGUGCUUAGACCAAAAAAUAUUGAAAACACUUGUUGCUUUUAUGGGGCUACUAAACACACAUCCACGGGAUGAAACCACUGUCUCCUGGGGAGGAGCUGAAAGCCAUUCCCUUCUCAGAGCUCUUCUUGAUGCCUCCCUCAGGAGGAACGUGCACCCCUCCUUUGUGCUUCCCUCGCCCCGGCCCCUGUCCCCUGCCUCAGGACAGGCUGAGUCACCUGUGCAGCUCAGCAGUGGACCCUCAGUGACUCUUCUGAUCUCGUCACUUCUGAGAAGAUGGAGGAAUUUCCAUGUCUCUGCCCACAGCAAUCAAAGGAGGCUGCCACCAAGAAAUCAAGGAAACAAAGAGAAGGUAUUCAGCAUUCAUUUUUAAAAUAUAUGUGCGACACCCAUUAGGAUGGCUAUUACUUAACCAAAAAAAACAGAAAUUAGUAAAUGUUGAUGAAGAUGUGGCGAAAUUGGAACCCUCGGGCAUUGCUGGUAGGAAUGUAAAAAGGUUCAGCUGCUGUGGAAAAUAGCAUGGUAGUUCCUCAAAAAAUUAACCAUAGAAUUACCAUAUGAUCCAGCAAUUCCACUUCUGAGUACAUGCCCAAAAGAAGGGAAAGCAAGGUCUCGAAGAGAUAUUUGUAGCCCCUCGUUCACAGCAGCAUUAUUCACAGCAGCCAAAAGGUGGAAGCAACCCAAGUGUCCAUCAAUUGAUGAAUGAAUAAACAAAAUAUGGAUACACAUACAAUGGAAUAUUAUUCAGCUUUGAAAAGGAAAGAAAUUCUGACACAUGCUGCAACGUGGAUAAACCUUGAAAACAUUAUGCUGAGUAUAAUAAGCUGUCAAAAAAG